AAAGAAUCCACCCAGAAACAAGACAGCACUCAAUUACCUGUGGACGUAACAAGAGAGCAGCUUUUCUGAGAUAUAUAUAGCAGAUGGAACAGAAUAUCAGAUCCCAUGUGUGAGACCUCAGAGUGUGUGGACACAGCUUGUUGGUGCUACAGACAGCAGACUACAGCGUGGAGAGAGUGACAGGACAUCUUGUCCCCGCUCUAAUUAUGCCCAACUCCUCUGGUCUUCUCACCACUGCUGCUUCCACUGCAGUGAAAGUCCCACGACAUCUCCAGAGAAUUCAGCAGUCAAUCCCACCAUCCGGGGAUCACCCACUAGAUGCCAUUCACUCCAUCCAUUGACUCACAAGUGGAGUAGAAGAAAAGUAAGACUCUUUAUGGAUGUCCCCCACCAUAAAGGACGACUUUCAUCUGAUUGGCCAGCCUCCGGAAGCCUGCCAAAAAU
Long non-coding RNA from Amphiprion ocellaris (clown anemonefish), 444 nucleotides. Lineage: Eukaryota; Metazoa; Chordata; Actinopteri; Pomacentridae. The record is from Ensembl.